GGAUUUGAGGGCAAUCUGGCUGCAACAUCUGCCACCUCAUUGAUUGAUUCAUUUGGUUGAUCUUGCUAUCUAAGCAGGUGUCCUCUGCUUCCUUCACCAUUCCAUGUGCAUCCCUCCCAAAACUACAUGCUUCGUCAAAGAGGACAACCACUCCCACUAGAAGAGGACCAUUCUUUGGUCAAGGGUAUGUGAGUAGUUGUGCUUUCUUACUAGAACCUCCAAUAAGCUCUCAAGAAUAUAGAGGAAUUAGUGGAAAAAUGGAAAUCAUUAAGAUAAAUUCACUGUUAAAU
RNAcentral lists this small nuclear RNA (290 nucleotides) under Carlito syrichta (Philippine tarsier). RNAcentral describes it as "7SK RNA (ENSTSYG00000027441.1)". It matches the Rfam family "7SK RNA". Rfam says of the family: 7SK was discovered as an abundant small nuclear RNA in the mid-70s but a possible function has only recently been suggested. Two independent studies have found that 7SK RNA binds the CDK9/cyclin T complex (known as elongation factor P-TEFb). P-TEFb activates transcription by phosphorylating the C-terminal domain of RNA polymerase II. Lineage: Eukaryota; Metazoa; Chordata; Mammalia; Primates; Tarsiidae. The record is from RNAcentral.